GGCGAACGGGUGAGUAAUGCAUCGGAACGUACCCAGUUCAUGGGGGAUAACGUAGCGAAAGCUACGCUAAUACCGCAUACGCCCUGAGGGGGAAAGCGGGGGAUCGCAAGACCUCGCGUGAUUGGAGCGGCCGAUGUCGGAUUAGCUAGUUGGUGGGGUAAAGGCCUACCAAGGCGACGAUCCGUAGCGGGUCUGAGAGGAUGAUCCGCCACACUGGGACUGAGACACGGCCCAGACUCCUAC
This 243-nucleotide ribosomal RNA is filed under the name uncultured Azoarcus sp. Its description in RNAcentral is "partial 16S ribosomal RNA". It matches the Rfam family "Bacterial small subunit ribosomal RNA", at positions 97 to 342 of the family's 1533-position model. Lineage: Bacteria; Pseudomonadati; Pseudomonadota; Betaproteobacteria; Rhodocyclales; Zoogloeaceae. The record is from RNAcentral.